UACGUAGGGACCGAGCGUUGUCCGGAAUCAUUGGGCGUAAAGGGCGCGUAGGCGGCGCGGGAAGUCAACGGUGAAAGCUUGGGGCUCAACUCCGAGUCGGCCGUCGAUACUCCCGUGCUCGAGCACUGUAGAGGCAGAUGGAAUUCCGGGUGUAGCGGUGGAAUGCGUAGAGAUCCGGAAGAACACCGGUGGCGAAGGCGGUCUGCUGGGCAGUUGCUGACGCUGAUGCGCGACAGCGUGGGGAGCAAACAGG
RNAcentral lists this ribosomal RNA (253 nucleotides) under uncultured bacterium. RNAcentral's name for it is "partial 16S ribosomal RNA". It matches the Rfam family "Bacterial small subunit ribosomal RNA", at positions 524 to 776 of the family's 1533-position model. The record is from RNAcentral.